RNAcentral lists this ribosomal RNA (342 nucleotides) under Scaptomyza pallida. Its description in RNAcentral is "28S ribosomal RNA, D2 domain". The record is from RNAcentral. Lineage: Eukaryota; Metazoa; Arthropoda; Insecta; Diptera; Drosophilidae.
CCCGAAGUAUCCUGAAUCUUUCGCAUUGUUAAUCAUACAUAUGCUUAUAAUAAACACAAAAAUCAAUGAUAAUUAUGCCAUUAUAUAAUUCCGAAAAAUUAGCGCACAGUAUUCAUAUAAAUCUAUCAACACUUUAUCAAAUUUACGACAAUUUAUUUUAUGUUAUAAUGCAAGCAAAAUAAUUUAAAUAAGCAAUAAUUCAAAAUUUUUUGAUAAAUUUAAUUAUGUUAAUAGAUUACAAUGUCCUUAUAUGGAAAAAAUGCACACUAUUAUUAUAAUAUUAUNAAAAUAUUACAAUUCUAAUGAUGAAUUUUCCAUAAUGGAUAUUCAGGUUCAUCGGGC